CCCCAGUGUGAGGAUUCUUCGAACCAAGAAACGGGAAGGGCUGAUAAGGACCCGAAUGCUGGGGGCCUCAGUGGCAACUGGGGAUGUCAUCACAUUCUUGGAUUCACACUGUGAAGCCAAUGUCAACUGGCUUCCCCCCUUGCUCGACCGCAUUGCUCGGAACCGCAAGACCAUUGUGUGCCCGAUGAUUGAUGUAAUUGACCAUGACGACUUUCGGUACGAGACACAGGCAGGGGAUGCCAUGCGGGGAGCCUUUGACUGGGAGAUGUACUACAAGCGGAUCCCGAUCCCUCCAGAACUGCAGAAAGCUGACCCCAGCGACCCAUUUGAGUCUCCCGUGAUGGCCGGUGGACUGUUCGCCGUGGAUCGGAAGUGGUUCUGGGAACUCGGCGGGUAUGACCCAGGCUUGGAGAUCUGGGGAGGGGAGCAGUAUGAAAUCUCCUUCAAGGUGUGGAUGUGUGGGGGCCGCAUGGAGGACAUCCCCUGCUCCAGGGUGGGCCAUAUCUACAGGAAGUAUGUGCCCUACAAGGUCCCGGCCGGAGUCAGCCUGGCCCGGGGAUGGGGAACAUGAAACGUGAUGUUGGCGAUGGAAACAUUAAGUAACUAGUGCCAGAAUUCAAACCCGUGUAGGUCUGACAGGUACCUGGCACAUAGCAAUUGUUCCUUAAACAGUGACUGCUAUUAUUAGUGUUAGCAUCAAUAUUAACAAUAAAGACUGGAACAUGUAUUUAAAAGUCUUAUCUA
Molecule: small RNA, 744 nt
Filed under: Pan troglodytes (chimpanzee)
Lineage: Eukaryota; Metazoa; Chordata; Mammalia; Primates; Hominidae
Description: processed transcript
Source: RNAcentral